Molecule: non-coding RNA, 120 nt
Organism: Salmo salar (Atlantic salmon)
Lineage: Eukaryota; Metazoa; Chordata; Actinopteri; Salmoniformes; Salmonidae
Source: RefSeq, a predicted model, not a curated record
UCAUCUGUGUCUGGUGCUAGCUAGUUACGGGCUAGCUAGGUCUUCAUCUGUGUCUGGUGUUAGCUAGGUCUUCAUCUGCGUCUGGUGCUAGCUAGUUACGGGCUAGCUAGGUCUUCAUCU